This 283-nucleotide unclassified non-coding RNA is filed under the name Hevea brasiliensis (rubber tree). Lineage: Eukaryota; Viridiplantae; Streptophyta; Magnoliopsida; Malpighiales; Euphorbiaceae. The record is from RNAcentral.
CUUCAGCUUAAUGAAGUCCUAUCAUCGUGUUGCUCAUGACAUUAUAUUCUUACACAGAUGUUUUCAAUAUAUAUAUACUGAAUUGUUGCUCAAGCAUACAACACCUACCCAUUGAGCAGAAAUUUAAAUUCUUGCCUGACAUUUUAAUUAACUUUAUAAAUCUCUCAUAUGUAAUCUUCAAGAUUGACACCAUGGCCAUAUAAAUUGAUUAGUUUUUAUCAUUCUCGUCAAUAGCGGUUACAAUUGUUUGUGUUUAACUAGAGUGCUGGUGAAGAGGAACGGG